UUGGGAGCUCACUAGCUUCGGAGUCAUAGGAACUCCAAAGUUAAGUAAGUUGUGGCUAGAGCAAUCCCAAGAUGGGUGACCCAGUGGGAAGUUGCUGGUGAGUUCCCAGA
Non-coding RNA from Prunus persica (peach), 110 nucleotides. NCBI's taxonomy places the organism in Eukaryota, Viridiplantae, Streptophyta, Magnoliopsida, Rosales, Rosaceae. The record is from Rfam.